GUGCGCACGAGAGGACGGAAGGACGGCCGCUGAGGGGGAAGGAAGGAGCCGCUGACUGAGGAGAAGCUCGUGAGGACCGCCGCUUGCCGACCCCGUCGUCGUCGUCAUCGUCAUGUCCCGCUUGGGAGCCGCCUUGCUGCGGGCGGCGGGCCCGAGGGCUCGUUUCCUGGAGGGCUCAGGCCUCUUUCAACAAUGGAAGGCUCCCUCUGAAGGACAACCUUGCAGACAAAUGACCACCUCUAGCUAUGCAUGGCGGCACAACAAAACCCUCUAUACCGUUAUAGCAAUAACCCUCUUUGGAAUUGGAAAUGCGUUCUAUGGAUAUGAAAUUAUGAGAAGAGCUCGACAGCGUGAUGUGGAUCGCGCAGAGAGGUACGAACGCAUGGAGAGCCAGAUGAAGGCACUUAAGCAUUAAGGACUUGACAGCACCAGAAUCAAUAUCAACUAAAGCUACAUCCAAUUACUCAUCUCCCCUGGCUCUUCAAAGUGGUAAAUAAUUCAAUUAAUAUGGGGAAUGUAAGUC
This is a long non-coding RNA of Thamnophis elegans (Western terrestrial garter snake), 523 nucleotides long. RefSeq lists it as uncharacterized. The transcript is spliced from 4 exons. NCBI's taxonomy places the organism in Eukaryota, Metazoa, Chordata, Lepidosauria, Squamata, Natricidae. The record is from RefSeq and is a predicted model, not a curated record.